ACUCCUACGGGAGGCAGCAGUAGGGAAUCUUCCACAAUGGGCGCAAGCCUGAUGGAGCAACACCGCGUGAGUGAAGAAGGGUUUCGGCUACGUAAAGCUCUGUUUAGUUAAAGAAGAACACGUAUGAGAGUAACUGUUCAUACGUUGACGGUAUUAACCAGAAAGUCACGGCUAACUACGUGCCAGCAGCCGCGGUAAUACGUAGGUGGCAAGCGUUAUCCGGAUUUAUUGGGCGUAAAGAGAGUGCAGGCGGUUUUCUAAGUCUGAUGUGAAAGCCUUCGGCUUAACCGGAGAAGUGUCAUCGGAAACUGGAUAACUUGAGUGCAGAAGAGGUAAGUGGAACUCCAUGUGUAGCGGUGGAAUGCGUAGAUAUAUGGAAGAACACCGAGUGGCGAAGGCGGCUACC
Molecule: ribosomal RNA, 406 nt
Filed under: uncultured bacterium
Lineage: Bacteria
Description: bacterial SSU rRNA
Rfam family: Bacterial small subunit ribosomal RNA
Source: RNAcentral